Molecule: ribosomal RNA, 253 nt
Filed under: uncultured bacterium
Lineage: Bacteria
Description: partial 16S ribosomal RNA
Rfam family: Bacterial small subunit ribosomal RNA
Source: RNAcentral
UACAGAGGCCUCGAGCGUUAGGCGGAAUCACUGGGCUUAAAGCGUGUGUAGGCGGACUUCUAAGUACCUUGUGAAAUCCCACGGCUUACCCGUGGAACGGCUGGGUAUACUGGUUGUCUUGAGCCACUUAGGGGCUACCGGAACAAAUGGUGGAGCGGUGAAAUGCGUAGAUAUCAGUUGGAACGCCAAUGGUGAAAACAACUCGCUGGGGAAGUGCUGACGCUGAGACACGAAAGCCAGGGGAGCGAACGGG